AGUGGGGUAGCUCAGUGGUACACACUUGCCUACGCCUAACAUGUGUAAGGCUCUGGGUUCAACCCCCAGUACUACUC
RNAcentral lists this transfer RNA (77 nucleotides) under Marmota monax (woodchuck). RNAcentral describes it as "tRNA.Val". Lineage: Eukaryota; Metazoa; Chordata; Mammalia; Rodentia; Sciuridae. The record is from RNAcentral.